This is a long non-coding RNA of Drosophila novamexicana, 1248 nucleotides long. RefSeq lists it as uncharacterized. The transcript is spliced from 4 exons. Lineage: Eukaryota; Metazoa; Arthropoda; Insecta; Diptera; Drosophilidae. The record is from RefSeq and is a predicted model, not a curated record.
AAGUGACAAAUAUGCUUUUGGGUGUGGCCCAUGUCCAGGUUGUUGAUGCCAGACAAACACGACAGGACGAGAUAAACAAUCGAUCAAAAUAUUAGACAAAUCAUCGUUUGACUGUCGCUGUACAAUAAACAAAAGCCAACUGUGUUCACGCCAUGACGGACUGUCGGUCAACCCCUGUGCACACACACACACUCACACACACACACACACACACACAAACUCAGAGGCAGCACGCCUGUGAGCUGGUCAAGCAAACAAAAUUUCACUUUGCCCAGCCUCGACGCGAACUGGACAGCCAAAAGGCAACAGCAAAGGCAAAUUCAAUUUGAGCUGUCAAAAAUCUAACCAAUAUUGGCUGCGUGUGCAUGUGUGUAUGUGUGUGUGCGUGUGCGUGUGUGUGUGCUUUUGGGAGGCGUGGCUGUGAAUACUAUCGUCGAGCACAAUCGAUUGAAAACAUAAAUGAAAUUGACAGCCAGCAUGCCAGGUGACCAGCCAACGUAAGUGCGCCUCCACGCACUGCCCCCUUUUGACGUAGCUAGCCCUUUGAUGUUGCCGACAGAGCCGCAUCCAUGGCAUUGUUGAAGGGGGAGCGCAUCUGGGCAAAAGGUGUUCAUGUAUUUUGGAAAAUAAGAAUACUCAAUCAUACAGACAAGCCUGAAAUCCAGGUCGUGCAAAACCGUUUCGAACCUAGGAUCCAAAUUUCGAAACUAGGAUUCCAAACUAAAACUUGAAUCGAGUCAAAAAUUAAUAAGUUUUUAAGUCCUACAGCAUAAACAACAAGAGGCCCUGUACACCCAUAUUGGGUAAAUGCGAGUUCUAAGUAAAAAUCUCAUUCUGUAGAUCGGAAAUUAUUAAAUGUGUAAUGUUUUGAAAAUGUAUCACAAAUCAAUUUGUCACCCAAACCUGUGGUCAACCGAACCUAAGGCUAAAAAAUUGGUUUGAUGUUUGAACCAUUGGGCGGAGCUCGAAACGUGAGCCGAAGUUCGAAACGUGAGCCGAAGUUCGAAUCGUGAGCCGAAGUUCGAAAGCAUCCAAAUAAAUUUUAAAUUUUUUUAAAAUCAUUAAGAGGCAAAGAUGUUGGUCAAGUGCAUCUAUAUGUAACAAGCUAUUAUGUCACAAGCACCGCUACUUAGUGGCGGAUUUUGUUUUUAUAGCAAACGUUCUUACCAGGAGGGCUACUACUGGGACUGCAUUAAGUCCCUGGAGCUGUUUGAAGUUCUUUGAAUUUUGUGAAUAGGUGUGUUUCCG